CAGCUCUUCCUUCCCUUUCCCCCCAACUUCCUUCCCCGGGCUCUCAAGGGAGUUUUGGAGGGACAAGAGGGGUAGGAAAAGGAAGCCUCCCUGAAGAGCUCUCCUUUCUCCAGCAAGCCACAACUCCUGCUAACUCACUAGCGGGCCACUACCCUUUCCUGCUGAAGGUCCUGCUCUGCCAUAAUCCCUCUCGCUGAAAGCCGAAGAUGACUCUCCUGGGAGAACAUUAGAAAUAAUCAGGAAUUCAUCUUUUGCUAUGAAUAGUAAAGUUUAGAGCAUGAACAGCUGUGUCUUCAUUUUGCACCUCUACCUUCACCACAACUGCAGUCUUUGACUCGACGUCUAAAACACGUCAUUUACCUACAUCUGUACACUACUGAUAACAAGUCUGACAUCAAACUCCCCAAGCUCACCGUACUAUUUGUUAUUUGCAUGUUGGAGUGUAGAAAGCCACAUACAUGGGCAAAAUUCAUUAUUUCCACCCUAAGUUCAGUCAUUUCACUGGCCUCAUACCUUACUUUUCCCAAAGCAUCUCCUCUGUACACUCACGCACAAGAGUAACACGAGUCCAAGUCCCUCACUGUGGUUACGCUUCAAACAUGGCGAUGCCACAGAGAAGUAGGUUUUUGUUUAUUUUGGCGGUUCUUUUGGGGUUUUUUGUUAUUGUUUUCCUAAGAGAAACUGACUGGGAUCUCUGCUGCUCAAGGACUCUGUCCACAGGCAAUUUACAAAUACAGUAUUUCUAGUGCAAGUCAAUUACCUGAUCAUACAUUACCUACAAAACAGGACAGAGAAUGACUGCUCAGCUUUGACUUCAGAAGGAAGUCAGGAACUUUUGUGAAAAGUACAUGCAGACAACUGCUGAUAAAGUCUGAAAGUAAAAGUUUUCCCCCUUGCCCAUCCACUCCCUCCCUCCCCCCAAGAUCUUGGGUGUUGCAUUUUUAAGACACAAAAUGAAAGCUGAAGAGGCUCUGAGGAGGUCUGCCAGGAAGCAAGGGGACAUGGGAGCACCAACCAGGACUGAGGGGUCAUGCUCGCCCUGUAACCAUGUCCAGGCUAGCUGGAGAGGGAGGAGACCAGCUGCACAACCGAGUCCAUGGUUCACAACAGAAGCCACAUGCAAGAAAAGAACGAGGAGGGAUCCCUGACUUGAUCACAAGCAGUGCUAGGGAGUAACAGAGUUUAAAGCAACAAAAAUGAAUCUGAGGGAUUUAUUCUGCCUAGAUCUAUGAAAAUGCCAACUUAACUAUUAAAAAUAAUUGUGGGUGGGGAGAAACCCACAGAAUCAUGAAGUUUGCCUUCAAAGAGAGCCAUGAAAGUCUACAGGACUGUAGCUUUGAGAAGGUUUGCACUGAAGCUGCCACGGAGCUCACAGGAGUUAAUGACAGCCUUAAAGCACAAGAAAGCCAGGCGGCAGGGGCGCUUUUUUUUUUUUUCUUGGCAAGGCAGGGGAGCUGUCAGAGAUGAGAAGGAUGCCACAGACAACAAGAGAAGAUUCAGCACUUGCUCAGGUCUCAGACUAAAGCAGGCACCGGAGCAUGCAGCCACCACACAGAUGGACUGACACUGCAAGACAGUGAACACCUGUCCAGGGCAGCUUCAUCAGGAAGCACUAGUGUUAAGAAGCAAAAUAAUUUAUUCAGGACCGUAUAUGAUCUCUCCAACUUCUACAGGAAGGAGUUAUGUAGUCACUCCAUUAUUUCAGACUGUUUUAUUAGCCCCAUACUCAGAUGUCCAUGUUUUGACUAAUUUAAGUUAUUAUUACAGUCAAGAUUGUGCACCGCUAUGGGGGUCAUUAGAGCAAACCCUUUGCCAGGAUUCAGCAGGACCACAUAGCAUAUAACCACUACAGAAAUUUUUUUCAAGUGUUCUCAUUACAAAAGAAAGGCAGCAGCAAGAUACUGGAACUCAAAAAAAGCACACAGGUCUGGUGUACUGUCAACACAAACAAAAACUCAGCAUCUAGAGACAGACUCUCUAAAUUUUAGAGUUACAACAAGGGUAGGUUAUAAACAGCAGUGCACCUGAAUCAAAACUUAAGUGUUUUAACAUAAUCACAGAGCUAAUAAAAUCCUUAAGAUACACCUAUUAGGAAAGAAUAUACUAGAGAGUCAAACUUCAAAGAGGAAAAGGUUGCAGAUGUUAAAUCUAAAGUGCAUUGAUGCUCAUUAGAAGCAUCUUACAGCUAAAAGCUUAUCCCUGCGUCUCUGUGCUCACAUCCUAGGAACCAAAGAUCCUUUCCACCAGACAGCACUCCAUGGCAUCCUUUCAGAAUAGUCAAUUUAUUCGUGUCUCAGUGUUAUGUCAGAUUUGCUAUGCUUUCUGUCCUGCUCUGCAUUCAUAGUGCCUGCACAGCAUAAUGCAACUCCCACAUUAACAGCAUGUAUACAUAAAAAGCAUCUCAUCACUUUACCUAUGGCUUAUACACUGAUGGGGAGGGUUGUGGGAAAAAUAAAUAAAUAAAUAAAAAUCACAUGUUGACAACCCAAGUCCAGAAGCAGUGUGUUUUGUCAGAGCAAAUGCUGCUCUGUGAGGUGGUGCAGCAAUGUCACCAGAUUUUUUUCCCUGUUGCCAUAUUUCUCCACUAGAGGACUCACCUGAGAAGUCUACUACAGCUUCCGCAGUUAAGCCAAGUCAAAAAAAAAAAAAGCCAACCCUGACAUGUGGAUGGUACAUGUAAAAUGAAUGGAAAUGUACUAGUAUAUGCGGCACAUGUAAUACAUGAAAACAUGCUCCCGUAACUACAAAAGAAACACAGCAAUGCUAUUUAGCUUCCUGCUAGUCUAUGACAAAUAUACAUGAUCAUUUAAAUGAAGGUUAAAUGCAAGAGCAAGCAUGUCCACACUGGGUCAGAUCACAAGGGUUACAGCCUAGCAGACGUGCUGCUACAUUCCAAGACCAGCACUGCAUAUUAAGCUGGAAAGUAGCAGAUAAACAAAGGCUAUAGAAGGUACUAGAGAAGGGCCAGUAUCAACUAUUAUUUUCCAAAUAAAGGGUCCCACCUACACAGAGAUGUUUCUAUUUUAUUAUUAUUUUUACGCACAAGUACGCGCACACCCCCCCACUGAUUAAGCCCUUGUAAAAUAGAAAGAGCAUCAUAUAACCUCACUCACGCCACGGCUUAUCAUCACGCCGCCAAAAACAGCGGCAACGGCUAGCAACCCUUCCCGUGGGUGAUACGGCCAGCCGUAUCAGCAGAGCUCAACUGGUGUUAGCAACGGCAGGGGAAGAAAGUAAUUAAAGAAUAUAUAUUCUUGCGACUUCCCUGGUAGAGAGGGGGGCCUGCAAGGCAGGGGAGCUGGCACCCCGGGAGGGAGAGGAAGCUUGCCGAAGCCAGUCCUUGCUUUCCCCUGCCAGGGCUCACCCCAAGGCCUCCCAGAGGCGAGGGGACCUAGACUGGUGGUUGCUGCGACCUAGCAAGGUACCCAGCCAAGACACAGCAGGUGCUGGGGAGGGGGGUGUGGGGUGGAGUGUGAAGCACAUGGCGAUGCAAAGCGCUGGUGCUGCGGAGGAAGAGAGGCACCAAUGUACAGGGGCAAGGAAAGGGCUAAGUUCACUUGCACCAGGCAAGGGGUGGGGAAGGGGUGGCGGGGGGCGGUAAGAAAAGGAAAAACGCAUCUAUUUCGCUAAGUGUGGGAUCUGCUUACCUGCGGAACGAAGGGGAGUGGGGGGAGGGGGGGGGGAGUGGAGGGGACUGCGGCUCCAGGGGAGCAACUAAGCAAACUCUCCAAAGGAGCAGAGGAGGGAAAGAAAGAAAGAAAAAAAGAAAAAGAAACGAGUAAGGGGAGAGACGGCAGAGAGAGGCACGGGGGAGAGCCUGAAGCACGCUGCGCAACCCCGCUGCCCGGCGCGGCGGGGAGGGCGGGCAGGGCUCGCCCCCAGGGGAAGGGGCCGGCCGGGGCGUGCGGCGGCCAGCACACGGCGAGGGGAAAGCGAGGAGGGGGCACCAAAGGCUGAAGCACAUCCGACACCGGCGGCCAGCCGGAGCUGUGAUGGGAGCCUACAGCCACCUGCAUCCACCAAAGAGGGGUGUUGGGAGAGCCUGGUGUACGUCAGUACGGUGUUGGCUGCCCCGCGCUUAUUUCUUGUUCUGAGCAGGUGCCUGGUCAGUUCCAGAGGAAAUCCAGGGAGUUUGUAAGUGAUGGUGGUGCCCAAUGGAGGUGAGAAUGCCCGGGCAUCCCUGUCGUACACACACACCAUCGGACUGCCAUUCCCACCCCCCUGGUGCUCCCUGCCAGUGGUGGCAGCAGUCACAUGGAAGCCACACUGGUCUCUUCCCACAACAUGAAACCCCUACGCCCUGCAGCUCUACCAACGCUCUACCUGCUUAAAACGCUCCUCUGCCAGAAGGAAGGAAACACGUUCAAUCCCUGUUCAUGAAGUCUUUCUCACCCAGAACUUUAUGCAAAUCCCCAAGUCUAUAUACUGAAAUAUCUAGUGCUGCUUUCAAAUGCCAAUAUUUGAUUCUCAGUUGGAUAUACAUUUAUAUUCACUGUUCAUACUCACUGCUAACCACAUUCCACAUGCAAGCCCCGCGAAUACAAUGUGUAUGUGGCCAACAAACCCUCUCCCCUCUUUUUUGUGAAUCCCACCCACACCCGUGCUUCCACGCUGCAUCUCAAGACCCCGCAAACAUAAG
Long non-coding RNA from Chroicocephalus ridibundus (black-headed gull), 4639 nucleotides. RefSeq lists it as uncharacterized. NCBI's taxonomy places the organism in Eukaryota, Metazoa, Chordata, Aves, Charadriiformes, Laridae. The record is from RefSeq and is a predicted model, not a curated record. The transcript has 3 exons.